Molecule: long non-coding RNA, 430 nt
Filed under: Nicotiana benthamiana
Lineage: Eukaryota; Viridiplantae; Streptophyta; Magnoliopsida; Solanales; Solanaceae
Description: long non-coding RNA (NBEN_LNC020672)
Source: RNAcentral
CAUUAAGGCUCCAAUCCCUGAGUUGCGCCUUUUAGACAUAGGGCCUCCAUUGCCUAAUCGCCUUUUGCCAACAUUAGGGCUCCAAUCCCUGAUUUGACCUUUUUGCCUUUUAGCCAAUAUUAGGUAUCCAAUCCCUUAGUUGUGCCUUUUAGACAUAGGGCCUCCAAUCCCUAGUCGCCUUUAUCCAAUAUUAGGGCUCCAAUCAUAAAGUUGAGUUUUUUUCUUUAGCCAACAUUAGGGCUCCAUUCCCUAGUUGAGUUUUUCUCCUUUUAGCCAACAUUAGGGCUCCAAUCCCUGAGUUGCGCCUUUUAGACAUAGGGCCUCCAUUCCCUAGUCGCCUUUUGACAACAUUAGGGUUCCAAUCCCUGAAUUGAGCUUUUUACCUUUUAGCCAGCAUUAGGUCUCCAACCCCGGAGUUGACAUUUUAGCA